Molecule: unclassified non-coding RNA, 347 nt
Filed under: soil metagenome
Description: partial contains 5.8S ribosomal RNA, internal transcribed spacer 2, and large subunit ribosomal RNA
Rfam family: 5.8S ribosomal RNA (bases 1-120)
Source: RNAcentral
GAUGAAGAACGUAGUGAAAUGCGAUAAUUAAUGUGAAUUGCAGAAUUCAGUGAAUCAUCGAGUCUUUGAACGCACAUUGCGCCCCCUGGUAUUCCGGGGGGCAUGCCUGUCCGAGCGUCAUUGCUGCCCUCAAGCACGGCUUGUGUGUUGGGCUUCCGUCCCUGGCAACGGGGACGGGCCCAAAAGGCAGUGGCGGCACCAUGUCUGGUCCUCGAGCGUAUGGGGCUUUGUCACCUGCUCCCGUAGGUCCAGCUGGCAGCUAGCCUCGCAACCAAUCUUUUUAACCAGGUUGACCUCGGAUCAGGUAGGGAUACCCGCUGAACUUAAGCAUAUCAAUAAGCGGAGGA